RNAcentral lists this long non-coding RNA (227 nucleotides) under Lathyrus oleraceus (garden pea). RNAcentral's name for it is "Pisum sativum (pea) long non-coding RNA (PSAT_LNC009295)". Lineage: Eukaryota; Viridiplantae; Streptophyta; Magnoliopsida; Fabales; Fabaceae. The record is from RNAcentral.
UUUUUUUCAUUUUCCCUUUUUUUUGUUUAUUUUUAAUUUGUGUUAUCCUUUGUUAUAUUUGCGAAUCGAUGGGUAAUAUCUUUUGCAUCAAUAUUUUCAAAUGUCAUUUUUAUUUUAUAUGUUAUAUUAUUUUAAAUUAUUAGUCAAUCUAUUAACUCAAUUUUGUUUAAUAAUUGAUGUGAUAGUUAUUUUAAAUGAGUUCCUAGAAUAUCGCAUUAUGGGGCUUU